GACGAACGCUGGCGGCGUGGAUUAGGCAUGCAAGUCGAACGGUAUCAUCCUUUCGGGGGUGAGAGAGUGGUGAACUGGUGAGUAACACGUAGGUUAUCUACCCUCAAGACGGGGACAACCCAGGGAAACUUGGGCUAAUACCGGAUGUGAGCAACUUUUAGUUGUUUGAAAGGUGGCGUAAGCUGUCGCUUGGGGAUGAGCCUGCGUCCUAUUAGUUAGUUGGUGAGGUAACGGCUCACCUAGGCAAUGAUAGGUAGGCGGCCUUAACGGGUGGUCGCCCACACUGGGAUUGAGAUACGGCCCAGACUCCUACGGGAGGCAGCAGUCGAGAAUAGUCUACAAUGGUCGGAAGACUGAUAGUGCGACGCCGCGUGAACGAUGAAUCCCUUCGGGGUGUAAAGUUCUUUUAUAUGUGAGCAGUGCUUCUUAUAUUAACAGUAUGGGGAGAGAGAUAUUAGCAUAUGAAUAAGCAACGGCUAACUCGUGCCAGCAGCCGCGGUAAAA
Molecule: ribosomal RNA, 504 nt
Filed under: uncultured bacterium
Lineage: Bacteria
Description: bacterial SSU rRNA
Rfam family: Bacterial small subunit ribosomal RNA
Source: RNAcentral